ACACAACUUGGGGCCCCUCUCCUCCCCAGCCCUUCUCCUGUGUGCCUGCCUCCUGCCGCCGCCACCAUGACCACGACCAUCUGCCAGUUCACCUCCUCCAGCUCCAUCAAGUGCUCCUCCGGCCCGGGGGGCGGCUCGUCCCGCACCUCCUGCCGGCUGUCUGGCGGCCUGGGUGCCGGCUCCUGCAGGCUGGGAUCUGCUGGUGGCCUGGGCAGCGCCCUCGGGGCAGCAGCUACUCCAGCUGCUACAGCUUUGGCUCUGGCGGUGGCUAUGGCAGCAGCUUUGGGGGCGUUGAUGGGCUGCUGGCCGGAGGUGAGAAGGCCACCAUGCAGAACCUCAAUGACCGCCUGGCCUCCUACCUGGACAAGGUGCGCGCCCUGGAGGAGGCCAACACUGAGCUGGAGGUGAAGAUCCGUGACUGGUACCAGAGGCAGGCCCCGGGGCCCACCCGUGCCUACAGCCAGUACUACAGGACAAUGGAGGAGCUGCAGAACAAGAUCCUCACAGCCACCGUGGACAAUGCCUACAUCCUGCUACAGAUUGACAAUGCCCAUCUGGCUGCUGCUGACUUCCGCACCAAGUGAGUCCUAGCUGUGGGCUUGGGCAGCCUGGGCCAGCUGGGGGAGGAUCUCAGGGUACCCCUCCUGACCCCAGGAC
Molecule: small RNA, 657 nt
Filed under: Pongo abelii (Sumatran orangutan)
Lineage: Eukaryota; Metazoa; Chordata; Mammalia; Primates; Hominidae
Description: retained intron
Source: RNAcentral